AGAGUUUGAUCCUGGCUCAGUGGCGGCGUGCCUAACACAUGCAAGUCGAGCGAUGAAGUUUCCUUCGGGAAAUGGAUUAGCGGCGGACGGGUGAGUAACACGUGGGUAACCUGCCUUAUAGUGGGGGAUAGCCUUUCGAAAGGAAGAUUAAUACCGCAUAAGAUUGUAGUAUCGCAUGAUAUAGCAAUUAAAGGAGCAAUUCGCUAUAAGAUGGACCCGCGUCGCAUUAGCUAGUUGGUGAGGUAAUGGCUCACCAAGGCGACGAUGCGUAGCCGACCUGAGAGGGUGAUCGGCCACAUUGGGACUGAGACACGGCCCAGACUCCUACGGGAGGCAGCAGUGGGGAAUAUUGCACAAUGGGCGAAAGCCUGAUGCAGCAACGCCGCGUGAGUGAUGACGGCCUUCGGGUUGUAAAACUCUGUCUUCAGGGACGAUAAUGACGGUACCUGAGG
This 452-nucleotide ribosomal RNA is filed under the name uncultured Clostridium sp. Its description in RNAcentral is "bacterial SSU rRNA". It matches the Rfam family "Bacterial small subunit ribosomal RNA", at positions 8 to 484 of the family's 1533-position model. The record is from RNAcentral. Lineage: Bacteria; Bacillati; Bacillota; Clostridia; Eubacteriales; Clostridiaceae.